UGGAGGAUUUUAUGCAGAAUGCACAAGC
This 28-nucleotide non-coding RNA is filed under the name Rattus norvegicus (Norway rat). The record is from RNAcentral. Lineage: Eukaryota; Metazoa; Chordata; Mammalia; Rodentia; Muridae.